Long non-coding RNA from Brienomyrus brachyistius, 1103 nucleotides. RefSeq lists it as uncharacterized. The record is from RefSeq and is a predicted model, not a curated record. NCBI's taxonomy places the organism in Eukaryota, Metazoa, Chordata, Actinopteri, Osteoglossiformes, Mormyridae. The transcript is spliced from 4 exons.
UUGCUGUGUUUUUGAGCGGGUUCACCACACUGGAACGUAGACCACUUAUAGCAAGCAGUGUUUUGCAUGAAAUAUUGUUCUGAAAACUAUUUUGUAGGCUGUUUCUGAGGGAGACCCCUGUGCCAAUACUCUGAUGGAUACCUCAUCACUUAGCAAAGAAAUGGAACAGAACAUAACCGAUGUGGGAAUGACUACGAAUGUCCAGUUGUUGCCAGAAGGACAGCAUGCAGAUGUCCUAAGAGAAGAGACAGAAGAGGUAAGUGUGUAAACACAAACCUAGUUUGGCGGUACACUAGGUUUUAAGAGGACCCUGCAAAUGUGUUUCGGCGUAGAGUUUUAUCAGCUGUGUGUGUAUAUAGUGUUUGACAGAAACAUGGACUCGGGGGACUUCUUAAUAUGAAGCUGUAAUUUAUGUCAUAGAUGGCCUUUUGCUGUGUUUUUGAGCGGGUUCACCACACUGGAACAUAGACCACUUAUAGCAAGCAGUGUUUUGCAUGAAAUAUUGUUCUGAAAACUAUUUUGUAGGCUGUUUCUGAGGGAGACCCCUGUGCCAAUACUCUGAUGGAUACCUCAUCACUUAGCAAAGAAAUGGAACAGAACAUAACCGAUGUGGGAAUGACUACGAAUGUCCAGUUGUUGCCAGAAGGACAGCAUGCAGAUGUCCUAAGAGAAGAGACAGAAGAGGUAAGUGUGUAAACACAAACCUAGUUUGGCGGUACACUAGGUUUUAAGAGGACCCUGCAAAUGUGUUUCGGCGUAGAGUUUUAUCAGCUGUGUGUGUAUAUAGUGUUUGACAGAAACAUGGACUCGGGGGACUUCUUAAUAUGAAGCUGUAAUUUAUGUCAUAGAUGGCCUUUUGCUGUGUUUUUGAGCGGGUUCACCACACUGGAACAUAGACCACUUAUAGCAAGCAGUGUUUUGCAUGAAAUAUUGUUCUGAAAACUAUUUUGUAGGCUGUUUCUGAGGGAGACCCCUGUGCCAAUACUCUGAUGGAUAACUCAUCACUUAGCAAAGAAAUGGAACAGAACAUAACCGAUGUGGGAAUGACUACGAAUGUCCAGUUGUUGCCAGAAGGACAGCAUGCAGAUGUCCUAAGAGAAGAG